UUAGCUGAGAGGUGGUGCAUGGCCGUCGUCAGUUCGUACUGUGAAGCAUCCUGUUAAGUCAGGCAACGAGCGAGACCCACGUCCACAGUUGCCAGCAUACCCCUCCCGGGGGUGAGUGGGUACACUGUGGAGACCGCCGCCUGCUAAAGCGGAGGAAGGAGUGGGCAACGGUAGGUCAGUAUGCCCCGAAUCUCCCGGGCUACACGCGGGCUACAAUGGUUGGUACAAUGGGCAUCUACCCCGAAAGGGGAAGGAAAUCUCUUAAAGCCAAUCGUAGUUCGGAUUGAGGGCUGCAACUCGCCCUCAUGAAGCUGGAAUCCGUAGUAAUCGCGUUUCAACAGAACGCGGUGAAUACGUCCCUGCUCCUU
Molecule: ribosomal RNA, 368 nt
Filed under: uncultured Methanosaeta sp.
Lineage: Archaea; Methanobacteriati; Methanobacteriota; Methanomicrobia; Methanotrichales; Methanotrichaceae
Description: bacterial SSU rRNA
Rfam family: Archaeal small subunit ribosomal RNA
Source: RNAcentral